AAUCAAUGUAUAGGAGGUCCUGCCUGCCCAGUGACUAUAAGUUAAACGGCCGCGGUAUUUUGACCGUGCAAAGGUAGCGCAAUCACUUGUCUUUUAAAUGAAGACCUGUAUGAAUGGUGGAACGAGGGCUUAACUGUCUCCCUCACCUAGUCAAUGAAAUUGAUCUAUCCGUGCAGAAGCGGGUAUAAUAAUACAAGACGAGAAGACCCUUUGGAGCUUAAGACAAAAGACCAACUAUGUUAAAAGUCACUAAACCAAAUAANUACUGGUCCCAGUCUUCGGUUGGGGCGACCACGGGAGAAAAUAAAGCUCCCAUGUGGACAGGGGCAACCCCUAAAACUAAGAGAUACAUCUCUAAGGCACAGAACAUCUGACCAUAAAGAUCCGGCUAAUGCCGACCAACGGACCAAGUUACCCUAGGGAUAACAGCGCAAUCCCCUUCCAGAGUCCAUAUCGACAAGGGGGUUUACGACCUCGAUGUUGGAUCAGGACAUCCUAAUGGUGCA
Molecule: ribosomal RNA, 506 nt
Filed under: Pareiorhina rudolphi
Lineage: Eukaryota; Metazoa; Chordata; Actinopteri; Siluriformes; Loricariidae
Description: partial 16S ribosomal RNA
Rfam family: Bacterial large subunit ribosomal RNA
Source: RNAcentral